This 252-nucleotide ribosomal RNA is filed under the name uncultured prokaryote. RNAcentral describes it as "partial 16S rRNA". It matches the Rfam family "Archaeal small subunit ribosomal RNA", at positions 475 to 726 of the family's 1478-position model. The record is from RNAcentral.
ACCGGCAGCUCAAGUGGUGGCCAUUUUUAUUGGGCCAAAACCGUUCGUAGCCGGUUUGUUAAGUCCCUGGUGAAUUCCGGCAGUUUAAUGGUGGGCCUUGUUGGAGAUACUAUUAGACUUGAGGUCGGGAGAGGUUAGGGGUACUCCCAGGGUAGGGGUGAAAUCCUAUAAUCCUGGGAGGACCACCUGUGGCGAAGGCGCCUAACUGGAACGAACCUGACGGUGAGUAACGAAAGCCAGGGGCGCGAACCG